GUCAGUGAAGGAGCGGGAGCUGUGAAACACACGUAACGAUAUAGAGAAGGUUAGCGUGGCCCUGCGCAAGGAUGGCACGCAAAAUCGUGAAACGCACUUAGUAUUA
Pangasianodon hypophthalmus (striped catfish) is the source of this 106-nucleotide small nuclear RNA. The record is from RefSeq and is a predicted model, not a curated record. NCBI's taxonomy places the organism in Eukaryota, Metazoa, Chordata, Actinopteri, Siluriformes, Pangasiidae.